This 6508-nucleotide long non-coding RNA is filed under the name Podarcis lilfordi (Lilford's wall lizard). Lineage: Eukaryota; Metazoa; Chordata; Lepidosauria; Squamata; Lacertidae. The record is from RNAcentral.
UUUUGAAUUAGUCUAACCAUUACCUUGCCCCACACCAACACGGGCCUUUUGGGAGACCUAUGCUGCUGUAUGUUUUGUUAACUGAGUCAAGAGGGACUCAGUAUCUCUGCCUCAGUGAGCAUGAGGAAUUUACACCAGUGUAGGUAUAGCUGAACCCUGGCUGAUCUAGGAAAGCCCAAGAUUUGCCAAAUCCAAACUCUCUUAUCCCAGCGGAUCUUGGAUUUCAAUUGUGCUGCAAAUCAGCAAAAUCUCAUCUUGGGGAGAGAGCCAAAGGAAAAGUUUCAGAAGCUAGGGGAUUAAAGGGUGCUUCACCAACUUUCCAUCCCCCCCACAGUUAUCAAACAAAUGAAACAAACAGUCUGGGGGUGGGGAUAAUUUCGGACACCUGCUGGUCUGGCUUUCCAGGACGGGAGGCAAAUGAUACAAAAUAAACAUUAGCUGAGCGAAUUAGGGAUGCAGGCUUUAGGCGGCCAUCCUCAACACACUACUAGGGAGUAAGUUCCACAGCACACACUACUUCUUGGUCCCUACUUUUUAGUACCAUUUAUCACACAAUCCCUCCCUUCCAACAACAUGCAAUCACUUCAGUGCACUCUUGGAUCCCCCACUCCCUCAACCCAUAUCAUACACUACCCAACUGCUUGGUAAAGGUAAAUGUAAAGGGACCCCUGACCAUUAGGUCCAAUGAUGACCGACUCUGGGGUUGCGGCGCUCAUCUCGCUUUAUUGGCCGAGGGAGCCGGCGUACAGCUUCAGGGUCAUGUGGCCAGCAUGACUAAGCCACUUCUGGCAAACCAGAGCAGCGCACGGAAACGCCGUUUACCUUCCCGCCAGAGCGGUACCUAUUUAUCUACUUGCACUUUGACGUGCUUGUGAACUGCUAGGUUGGCAGGAGCAGGGACCGAGCAACAGGAGCUCACCCCGUCGCAGGGAUUCGAACCGCCAACCUUCUGAUUAGCAAGUCCUGGGCUCUGUGGUUUAACCCACAGUGCCACCCGUGUCCCAACUGCUUGGUACCAGCCAACAAAUCAUCAACAGGUUGUCAGUGGAUAGAGAAAAGUUUUUCUCCCUCUCUUAUAACGCUAGACCUCAUGAACUUCCAGUGAAGCUGUAGGAUUCAGAACAGGCAAAAGGGGGGGGGGACCCUUAUUCAUGCAGUACAAAAACUGUGGAACUCACUUCCACAAGAGGCAGGGAUGGUCACCAACUUGGAUGGCUUUAGAAGACAAUUGGACAAAUCCAUGGAGGAGAAAGUCAUCAAUAGCUACUAGCCUGGAUGUCUGUGCUCUGCCUCUAUAGUCAGAGGUAGCAAUGCUUCUGAAUACCAGUUGCUGAAAACCACAGGAGCAGAGAGAGCCAAUGUGGUGUAGAGCUUAAGAGUGGUGGACUUGUAAUCUGGUGAACUGGGUUCGUGUCUCCGCUCCUCCACAUGCAGCUGCUGGGUGACCUUGGGCUAGUCAAACUUCUUUGAAGUCUAUCAACCUCACUCACCUCACAGAGUGUUUGUUGUGGGGGAGGAAGGGAAGGAGAAUGUUAGUCGCUUUGAGACUCCUUCGGGUAGUGAUAAAGCGGGAUAUCAAAUCCAAACUCUUCUUCUUCUUCUUCUUCUUCUUCUUCUUCUUCUUCUUCUUCUUCUUCUUCUUCUUCUUCUGCUCAGAUCCUGCUAGAGGGUUUUCCAGAGGCAUCUAGUUGGUCAUUGUGAGAGCAGAAUUCUGGAGCAAGCCACUGGCCUUCUCCUAAUUGAAGACCCAAACAAACUGAGGUAAGAAUGAUGCUAUCCGGGGCUCUAGGCACUAAAUCAUAACAAACACCCACACCAACACAUCUAUCUCCCCACCCUCUCACUUAGGGCCACAAUGACUCCUCUCCUAACUUCUCCUCAGGACAGAACUCUUUAGCACCAAACUUAACUUUACUCACUCCAUGCACCUGACUGUCACCUGGGAGCACUAUCUUUCCAACCCUUGGGCUCUCAGCUAUCACCUGGGAGCUCAUAUUUUACAACUGAUACUUGUGCAUCCAGUGCAGAGGUUUCUCCUCCCCCAGAUGACUUGUGUAUAUUUUUAAAAGUUCCCAGCGUUUAAAUAAAGCUAUUGCUAUUUACAACUGCCUGCAGAAUUUACAAGUGUGCACCCUGAAUCUCUUAAAAGGCUACUUCUGCAGCAGCUGAGCAAGAAAUAUUUUGCCCUUGAUUGAUAUGCAAAUUUCAGCUAAACUAAUUGGAUUUCACAGCUGCCUCCCAGGAUCCCAUGUAUUAUUCAUAGAGUUUGAUUCUGCGCUAUGGAGGAUGUUAGAGCUAAUAAGCUGGAACCCUGGCAAAAUUCAAAACAAAAGAGUCAUCACAAUCUAUAUGGCCACACUUGAGUCAGAUGACUCUUAAUUUCCUACUGGAUCAAUGCAAAAUAACCCAUUUCCAAUGCAUCCGAAAUCACAGAGUCAUAGUAACCUAGACUUGGAAGGGGCUUAGAGGUAAUAUAGUUUAACCCCUGCUCAGUGAGGAAUCUGUAAUGUAGUAUGAAAUGACAGCAUUCUAACAGAUAACGAGGCUCUGCUUAAAGUGCCUUCAUCAAAGGAGAACCCAGAACCUUCUAAGGCAGUUGGUUUCACUGUUGAACUGUUCUUAGUGUUUGGAAGUUUCAUCAAUGUUUCAUCAAAGUCAGCUUUCUUGCUAUUUCCACCUGUUGGCAGUAGUUCUGCCUUCUGGAAAAACAGAGUAGACGCCUGCUCCAUCUUUUGUGUAACAGCCCUUCAGAUACUUGAAGGUAGCUUUCAUGUGUCUACUUUAAUCUUCUCCAAAGGCUAAAUAAUGGUUGUGUCCUGGUUCCUCUGUCCCAAAACAGGCAGACAGAGACUCUUACUUGGAAGUAAGAAAGAGAUCAUUAUUCAGGCAAGGAGCCAUGCAGUAGACAUAGAGCUCAGGAGUCAUGAUUCAGGAGGUUAGGAGCAAAGCAAGGCAUUAAGGAUUGGACGGAAGAAUCAGAUGUCCAUAGGUACUUGUGUUUCACCCACAACCUCAGUUUUUCUUGAGUUAAAAAAUGCACACACGUUUGUGGGCGCACAUAAAAGCUCUGUGCAAACAGGGAACUUAGACAGGGGCAUGUCGACCUAACCUACCUCACAGGGUUAUCGUGAAGAUAAAAUAGGAUGAGCUCCGUUCAGAAAGGAGGCUUUUUUUAAAAUAGAAGAAAAGUAAUUGAUAAAUAUAGUCCAGAUCAAACAUGAUGAAGAAAGAUCCUCAAGGUUGAGUGAAGCACAGAAAUCAUCCAUCAUGGAUACCUGCUGAGCCGCUAGAAGACAAACAGCAUUGCCGUUAAUGGAAAUCGCUCAAAUAAUAGCACACAUAUCAACAUAGCUGGCAUAUUAUAUCAGACCAUAAUACUUUAGAGACAGGGAACUGUAUCUUCAUAUUGUAUACUACGUAAGCUGAGCUCUGAGGAAAGCUGGGUGAUGAAUCCAAGUAAAAAAUGGUCCAAGGAGAGGAUACAUCACUUGUCCUAAAAGCAGGGAUGCAGACAAUUUUUAUCAUCCAAGAGCCUCAGCAUUUUUUUAACAUAGACACACAGACAGACAUAUUUGGUGGUGUUAACAACUGCUGAAUAAUACAUAACAUCACCUCCUUCUGUUUGAUUUCACUAUCUUUUCCUUUUCCUAUUCAAUUUAAGCACAUUCAAGCACAUGCAUUCUCUUAGCAGCUCCUGCUUAUCUUUCAUCUCUGAUUCUUCUCUAUGUUCCCAUCUUUGGUCUCUGCUGUGGGUUCUUUCUUUCUUGUUAAGCCCCCACCCCACCCCCACCCCAAGUAUUUCCCUAGAUAUCACAUCUUUAUUCUUUUCCUCCCCCUUAUCACACCCUGUCUGUUGCUAGUAAAAAGAAAACAAAAAACAUAGUCGCUAAACUUAUUCUCCUUCUUUCUCUUUUAAGUGUCCCAUUUAUUUUGGUGAUAGAUUUUGUCCUCCUCCAGUUUGUAAUUUUAUUAUACAGACCUUGGGAGUCAUAGUGGAUAACUUGAUGAAGGUGUUGACCCAGUGUGUGGCAGCUAUGAAGAAGUCAAAUUCCAUGCUAGGGAUCAUUAGGAAAGGAAUUGAAAAUAAAACCUGCUGCUAUCAUAAUGCUGUUGCACCAGUUUAUGGCGUGACUGUGUUUGGUAUACUGUGUACAGUUUGGGCCUCCAGGCAGAUAUUUGCAGGGUUGGAAAAGGUUCAGAAAAGGGCAACCAAUGAUGAUCAAGGGGAUGGAAUGACUCCCCUCUGAGGAAAGGCUACAGCAUUUGAGACUUUUUUUAGUUUAGAGGGAGGUGGGAAUGAGUAGCAGAUGGCAUGAUAUAAGUUUGCAAAAUUACACAUGGCAUGGAGAAAUUUGGUAGAGAAAAGUUGUUCUCCCCUCACCUAGCACAUCUAAUGGAUCUGAAUGUUGGAAGACUCAGGACAGAUAAAAGAAAGUCAUCCUUCAUAAUUUAAACUAUAGAACUCGCUCCCAGUGGAGGCAGUGAUGGUCAACAACUUGUAUGGCUUUAAAAGAGGACUGGACAAAUUAAUGAAGGACAAGGCUAUCAAUGGCCACGAGCUCUGCCUUCAUGGUCAGAGGUGGUGAUGCUCCUGACUACCAGUUGCUGAUCAAGUCCAGCUUGGGGAUUUCUCCCAGGCCUCUGGUUGGCUAUUGUGAGAACAGGAAGCUGGACUAGAUGAACCAUUGGCCUGAUCCAGAAGGCUCUUCUCAUGUUCUUUUUCCUAGUUUUCUAUCUGUUUGAAAUUAGGAUGCAGCUGCCCUUUGGCCUCCCGUCCCAAAUAAACUGCCCUUUUCAGCAAGCAUCCCACCUGGCAAUGGUGAGAAAGCAUCUCCCCCUCCACUGGCUUGGCCAAUUGCCAUUUGGCGCCACCAUAGCUUGCCUCAACGACAUGCCCAAUAGGUUGCAAUGGGGAGGGGAGGCAGAGGAGCCCCCUCCAUCAGCCUGGCAGCAGCUAACUCCCACUUGGCUCCUCUCUUUCCAGAACAGCUUCUCUCUCAGUGGUCAUUCAGCUGCAUUGCUUCAGAGGUCAAGGCCAAACAGCCCUGCCCAUUGGCCUGUCAGAGAUCCAGUGCUACUUGGCUUCUCCCUUAGGCAGAGGGGAGUGACUGGCCAAAGCCAGAGUUUCAUGGCUGAGUGGAGAUUUGAACUCAGAUCUCCCAUACCCUAGUCCAGCAUUCUAACCACUACACCACACUCCUUUCCUUUCCUCCCUAAUGCAUUUUAUGUCUAUCUUUAUGUUGUAAGCCUGUGGGAAGGACAGCUCUUGUUUCAAACGUAUAUACAGUGCCUCAGUUUGUAAAUGCUUUAUGCUACUCUGGAAUACAGGACCUAAUAUAUCCUGCGUAUCCCUUGCCCAUUGCUCUGGGGGCAUCAUUCCCCAAAUGCUACCUCCUCAUCUGUUCUGCUGUGGAAAAUUACUGGAAGAGAAAUUGUAUGAUCCAUUGCCACUUUCUAUCCCUUGCAUGCCAGAAAAUGCAUUUGAAUUCCCGUCACCGACCCAGCUGUACAAAACAGAAAUGAAAAUUGGGAUUUACUUAUACAUUGAUAGAAAACGAGAAGAAGAUGUAUUAAAACAUAGGAAGGUCCACAGCCUGGCAUACGAGCCUUGGAGUUAAUUUAGUGCCAUUUAAUCACAGUCCCUGGCCUUAAUGGGAUAAAAAUGGAAAGUAUAAACGCAGGACAAUUAAGCGUGGUGCAUAGGCCAUCGCGAAAUCUUAAUCGCGCUUAAUGAUAUAUAUUUGUCAUCCAGACUGAAACAGGUUUAGAAAGUUGGGGUUUUUUUUUAAACAAAGAUGUUUUAUAGCACUGAGCUUUAGUGCCAACCUCUUAACUGCUGCUGUAAUUUCUAAAUUUCCCAUGGGAAAGAAGUAGUGUAUGAAAGAAGCCAUUAGCAUGGAAAAGAAACUCAUUCACAUUUUGCCACAGGUGGAGAUGGCAGUGCUUAUAAUAGGAGACACACUGAUUUCCGUAUGGGGGAGGUGCUUAGCCAAUUACAGGUAUGAAUGUAAGAAUAGCCUGCUGGAUUGGACCAAUUCUAGUUCAGAAUCCUGUCCUCACAGGAGCCAACCAGACACCUGCAGGAAACCUGUAAGCAAGUACUUUUAAACAUUUUGUUGGGGAUAAUUCAGACUAAAAAUUCCCUGGUGUCAAAAGGUCAUUUAUGUAUGCCACUCCUGCGGCCUGUGUUUAGCCCCAAAAUGGAAAAUGAGCAAGGUCCCAACUAAAGAAGAAUGGCAGCUUAAGCUGAUGAAUAUGCGCAGCUUGCAGACUUAACAUAUAGAAUAAGAGAACAAGAAGAACAUACGUUUAGAGAAGAGUGGAAAAUGUUUAUUGAAUAUAUUGGGGGGGGGGAAUUGUGUAUACCUGAAAAUGUUGGCAGCAUUAAGAUAAAUUCAACAGUGUAAAUAAGUUUUGAUGGAUACAAUAAUGGAAUACUGAAUGGUUUAGUUUUUGUAAAAUAUGCAGGGAUUUAUGAUAUGCAAAAAGAACCAUGGAAAGAGAAGAA